UACAGAGGGGGCAAGCGUUACUCGGAAUUACUGGGCGUAAAGCGUGCGUAGGUGGUGAGUUAAGUCUGUCGUGAAAGCCCCGGGCUCAACCUGGGAAUGGCGAUGGAUACUGGCUCGCUAGAGUGCGGUAGAGGAGAGUGGAAUUCCCGGUGUGGCAGUGAAAUGCGUAGAGAUCGGGAGGAACAUCAGUUGCGAAGGCGGCUCUCUGGACCAGCACUGACACUGAGGCACGAAAGCGUGGGGAGCAAACAGG
This 253-nucleotide ribosomal RNA is filed under the name uncultured bacterium. RNAcentral's name for it is "partial 16S ribosomal RNA". It matches the Rfam family "Bacterial small subunit ribosomal RNA", at positions 524 to 776 of the family's 1533-position model. The record is from RNAcentral.